RNAcentral lists this ribosomal RNA (207 nucleotides) under uncultured bacterium. Its description in RNAcentral is "partial 16S ribosomal RNA". It matches the Rfam family "Bacterial small subunit ribosomal RNA", at positions 568 to 774 of the family's 1533-position model. The record is from RNAcentral.
UGCGUAGACGGGAAGGUAAGUUAGUUGUGAAAUCCCUCGGCUCAACUGAGGAACUGCGACUAAAACUGCUUUUCUUGAGUGCUGGAGAGGAAAGUGGAAUUCCUAGUGUAGCGGUGAAAUGCGUAGAUAUUAGGAGGAACACCAGUGGCGAAGGCGACUUUCUGGACAGUAACUGACGUUGAGGCACGAAAGUGUGGGGAGCAAACA